Pelobates cultripes (western spadefoot toad) is the source of this 318-nucleotide non-coding RNA. Lineage: Eukaryota; Metazoa; Chordata; Amphibia; Anura; Pelobatidae. The record is from the annotation of a GenBank genome assembly.
CCUGGAUAUCACUCCUGGAUGCUGGGGCAUUAUCCUCCAUUACCCGUGGGGGAGCUGCCUGACAUGGAGUGAGUGGGCUAUCAGGUGGUUCUCCUUCCUCUGAGGGCAGUGGAGAGGAGUCCCGAUGGGACGUGGUCUGCGCUGCACUUGGGGCCUGCAACAUCUGGCCUAUGUCGCGCUGGGGCCUUGGGGUAUGUGUGGGUGGUUUCUGAGACUUGCGCCCCAUCUCACCUGUGUGUGGCAGGCUGUGGUACCAGUCUUCUAGAGCAGGUGAGCCCCAGGGCCAGAUUCCCUCCUCUGAGUCUCUCUGCCGUCCGC